ACCAAGUUAAUGUAUGACGAGCCAAAUUGUUGUUGCGGUAAUAAAAAAAUUUUACUCGAUUUUUUUUUUAUUCAAAGCAGGGUACUUCAGAUUCUUGCACACAGAUUUCUUCAGAUUUGUGUAAACAUUAAACGUUAUAAAAAACAUUAUAUAGUUUCGGCAUAGUGAUGCAACUGCAGCGUGAAAGUUAGCAUAAACUCUCCAGAUAUUGCGUGGCUAAAAGCUGUCAAGCCAGUACGCGACCAAAGAUAAAAAAAAACAACAGAUGAAACUAGCAAAACUUAAUACAACAUUUUUUUUACUAAUAUCUAUUUAGUAAAAAUUUUACAACAAUGUUUAUAACAAAUUGAGUUUUUAUACUUGAAAGAAAAUAGAGAAAUUAAAAUGAGCUACCACUAACUACCACUAACAAGUUUUUAACAAGACCGCUAAUGGAAACGUAGGACGUAUUUUGUCAAAAACAAGAAAACUGGAAACAAGUUAAAUGUAUAUGGAAAGUUUUGAAGCUAUUGUACGCUGAAAGCACAUUCUAAAGUUGUAGCUGUAGAUGUGUGAUGUAUGCCAUCAGUGAUUUUCAUGUGCUACUAAGUGUUUUACUCAAACGUUUCUUUAACGUUAAAGUGCACGAACCAAGUGUUUGGCCAUAUAAUCGUGCUGUUAAAGUCUGCCUGAAUUGUUGUGAUGUCCAAUCCAGACUUUAAGAUGCCGAUAACUCUGUUGUUGUCAGCGUAUAACAUUAUCUUGUGGACAAUCCUAUCAAGAAGAUUGUUUAUAGAAAAGAUGCAAAGUAAUAGCUCCUAGAACCUUGAGGAACUCGUUCUUCGAGUCAGAAACGCGUUUUCUUAGCAUAACCCAUCGUUUACGUUCAUUUCAAUCCAAAAAGCAGAUUGUUGCAAAUGAAAUAUGCUUUAAAUUUGUAUAGAAGACGUUUUUGAGGGACCUUAUUGAAUACCUUAGAAAAAUUGAUCUAGAUAACAUUACCACUAUAGUCUUGGUGCAUACCUUUGUUAUGUGUAUUCAAGAAGGUCAGUCAGACUUUUACAAACAAAACCGGGUUGGUGCUUGGAAACUAGAUUGUUUACCAUGCAGUCAUGGCAGUCAGCAAAUUUUGGAAAACGAAGACCUUUUUUUUUUUUUUUAACCCCCCUCCACGUGACACCUACUCGC
Hydra vulgaris (swiftwater hydra) is the source of this 1167-nucleotide long non-coding RNA. RefSeq lists it as uncharacterized. Lineage: Eukaryota; Metazoa; Cnidaria; Hydrozoa; Anthoathecata; Hydridae. The record is from RefSeq and is a predicted model, not a curated record.